Long non-coding RNA from Malaclemys terrapin pileata, 1212 nucleotides. RefSeq lists it as uncharacterized. The transcript has 2 exons. NCBI's taxonomy places the organism in Eukaryota, Metazoa, Chordata, Testudines, Emydidae. The record is from RefSeq and is a predicted model, not a curated record.
UUAUGGAGGAUGGGCUGAACGGAAACAAAACUGGGAACAUAUAUUUGUAGUCUAACAGCAGCUGUGGAGGGUCAUUUCGCUCUUGCAAAUUUGCCUAUGAGGUUUGUGUGGAAAAAAUAAAAGUGACCUUCCUUCAAAGCAGUGAACAGAUCUUCCCGCCGGAGAUGCAUCCAUGAUGCUGCAUAAGUAGCCAGGAAGUUUGCAGCAGAGCAACACACGUUGUAACUUGUCACAAAGUGAUGGAAAGUGCUGCCCAUUCAACUCCAGGAGUGAGUGUGUGGACCUGGACACUGAAUAUGACUCUCUUGUGUAGCAGCACACACUACCAGCAACAUGCUUGUCCUUUUAUCUAGUACAUCAGCAGGACUGAGAAAAAUGUUAAGCACUAGUUACUAUUUUCCUGCUUUCUCUUUUUGACAUUCAAGAUGCCAUGGCACUCUUCAGAAGAGCAGGACAUUUUCCUAGUCACCUGGUAAAAAUUUCCCUGCUCUCCACUAAUGUACAGCAUGCUGGGUGGGAGUUGAUUGCUGUUUUCCAUCUCACAAGUGGCUGCAUUUCAGUGAUGUCUGACAUUCCUGUAUCCUACUAGCCUUACUUGCAGGACUAGUCCCAUUGAGAAAAUGAACACUUGAGUGCCCAGAUACUAUACCGAUAAGUAGAACUGGGCAAUUUUUAUUUUUUUUGGUGAAUAGUAAACCAAAACGUUGCAAAUUUGACAUGAAAUUGCUGAAUAGUUUCAGCCAAAAUCUUGUUUUCAGGAUUGAGAUGCCAUUCACAAAAUGGCUGGAGGAUGAAACAGUGGUAGUGCAUGCCUUGUAAAGUGUAGCUCAGUGCACUCACCUAAGAUAUGAAAUAGGAGUCAGGUUCAAUUGCCCCCUCUAUCUGAUCUGAAGAAGGGAUUUAAACUUGGAUCUCACAUACUGCAGAAAAGUUCCCUUACUCCUGGGGCUAUUGGAUAGUCUGGAGUGGGUCUUUCUCAAUCUCUCCUGUUGAAGUGGUUCCACUUCGUAUAAAUAAUUAGUCAUUGGAGGUUGGGACAAAGAUAGAGAGUGAGAAUGACUAUGCAGCCAAGUGCUUAGGGCACUCUUCUGCAAUGUGGGGCACCCAAGUUCAAAUCACUUCUCCAUAUCAGGAUUAGGAGGGAACUGAAUGUCUCUCCCCCACAUCCCAGGAGAGUGCCCUAACUACUAGGUUAAUGCUUCUAAGGGAGGU